CAUACCUAUUCGAAGGGAUAGGGUCGGUUUGGCCGGAUUUCACACGGGUGUUGCAUGGCUGUCGUCAGCUCGUGUCGUGAGAUGUUGGGUUAAGUCCCGCAACGAGCGCAACCCUCAUCCUUAGUUACCAUCAGGUUAUGCUGGGGACUUUAAGGAAACUGCCAGUGAUAAACUGGAGGAAGGUGGGGAUGAUGUCAAGUCAUCAUGGCCCUUAUGGAGUGGGCUACACACGUGCUACAAUGGUGAUUACAAUGGGCUGCAAGGUCGCAAGGCUGAGCUAAUCCUAAAAAAUCAUCUCAGUUCGGAUUGUUCUCUGCGACUCGAGAGCAUGAAGUUGGAAUCGCUAGUAAUCGUGGAUCAGCAUGCCACGGUGAAUACGUUCUCGGGUCUUGUACACACUGCCCGUCACGCCAUGGGAAUUGGUUUCACUCGAAGCU
RNAcentral lists this ribosomal RNA (437 nucleotides) under Wolbachia pipientis. RNAcentral describes it as "bacterial SSU rRNA". It matches the Rfam family "Bacterial small subunit ribosomal RNA", at positions 992 to 1428 of the family's 1533-position model. Lineage: Bacteria; Pseudomonadati; Pseudomonadota; Alphaproteobacteria; Rickettsiales; Anaplasmataceae. The record is from RNAcentral.